UACAGAGGUCUCAAGCGUUGUUCGGAUUCAUUGGGCGUAAAGGGUGCGUAGGCGGCGCGGUAAGUCGGGUGUGAAAUCUCGGAGCUUAACUCCGAAACUGCAUUCGAUACUGCCGUGCUUGAGGACUGGAGAGGAGACUGGAAUUUACGGUGUAGCGGUGAAAUGCGUAGAUAUCGGGAGGAACACCAGUAGCGAAGGCGGCACUCUGGGCCGGAACUGACGCUGAGGAGCGAAAGCGUGGGUAGCAAACAGG
RNAcentral lists this ribosomal RNA (253 nucleotides) under uncultured bacterium. Its description in RNAcentral is "partial 16S ribosomal RNA". It matches the Rfam family "Bacterial small subunit ribosomal RNA", at positions 524 to 776 of the family's 1533-position model. The record is from RNAcentral.